Molecule: ribosomal RNA, 791 nt
Filed under: Pseudomonas sp. Turb46
Lineage: Bacteria; Pseudomonadati; Pseudomonadota; Gammaproteobacteria; Pseudomonadales; Pseudomonadaceae
Also listed under: 2 other names
Description: bacterial SSU rRNA
Rfam family: Bacterial small subunit ribosomal RNA
Source: RNAcentral
AGUUUGAUCCUGGCUCAGAUUGAACGCUGGCGGCAGGCCUAACACAUGCAAGUCGAGCGGUAGAGAGAAGCUUGCUUCUCUUGAGAGCGGCGGACGGGUGAGUAAUGCCUAGGAAUCUGCCUGGUAGUGGGGGAUAACGUUCGGAAACGGACGCUAAUACCGCAUACGUCCUACGGGAGAAAGCAGGGGACCUUCGGGCCUUGCGCUAUCAGAUGAGCCUAGGUCGGAUUAGCUAGUUGGUGGGGUAAUGGCUCACCAAGGCGACGAUCCGUAACUGGUCUGAGAGGAUGAUCAGUCACACUGGAACUGAGACACGGUCCAGACUCCUACGGGAGGCAGCAGUGGGGAAUAUUGGACAAUGGGCGAAAGCCUGAUCCAGCCAUGCCGCGUGUGUGAAGAAGGUCUUCGGAUUGUAAAGCACUUUAAGUUGGGAGGAAGGGUUGUAGAUUAAUACUCUGCAAUUUUGACGUUACCGACAGAAUAAGCACCGGCUAACUCUGUGCCAGCAGCCGCGGUAAUACAGAGGGUGCAAGCGUUAAUCGGAAUUACUGGGCGUAAAGCGCGCGUAGGUGGUUAGUUAAGUUGGAUGUGAAAUCCCCGGGCUCAACCUGGGAACUGCAUUCAAAACUGACUGACUAGAGUAUGGUAGAGGGUGGUGGAAUUUCCUGUGUAGCGGUGAAAUGCGUAGAUAUAGGAAGGAACACCAGUGGCGAAGGCGACCACCUGGACUGAUACUGACACUGAGGUGCGAAAGCGUGGGGAGCAAACAGGAUUAGAUACCCUGGUAGUCC